Molecule: ribosomal RNA, 490 nt
Filed under: uncultured Streptococcus sp.
Lineage: Bacteria; Bacillati; Bacillota; Bacilli; Lactobacillales; Streptococcaceae
Description: partial 16S ribosomal RNA
Source: RNAcentral
CACGUAGUUAGCCGUCCCUUUCUGGUAAGAUACCGUCACAGUGUGAACUUUCCACUCUCACACUCGUUCUUCUCUUACAACAGAGCUUUACGAUCCGAAAACCUUCCUCACUCACGCGGCGUUGCUCGGUCAAACUUCCGUCCAUUGCCGAAGAUUCCCUACUGCUGCCUCCCGUAGGAGUCUGGGCCGUGUCUCAGUCCCAGUGUGGCCGAUCACCCUCUCAGGUCGGCUAUGUAUCGUUGCCUUGGUGAGCCGUUACCUCAACCAACUAGCUAAUACAACGCAGGUCCAUCUGGUAGUGAUGCAAUUGCAUCUUUCAAGCACAUAUCAUGCGAUAUCUAACUGUUAUGCGGUAUUAGCUAUCGUUUCAAUUAGUUACUCCCCCGCUACCAGGCUAGGGUUACCUACGCGUUAACCUCACCCGUUCGCAACUCAGUCCGAGAAGCAAGCUCCUCCUUCAGCGUUUCACUUGCAUGUAUUAGCACGCCGC